Molecule: ribosomal RNA, 450 nt
Filed under: uncultured bacterium
Lineage: Bacteria
Description: partial 16S ribosomal RNA
Rfam family: Bacterial small subunit ribosomal RNA
Source: RNAcentral
GUGGGGAAUCUUCCGCAAUGGGCGAAAGCCUGACGGAGCAACGCCGCGUGAGUGAUGACGGCCUUCGGGUUGUAAAGCUCUGUUAUAUGGGACGAACGGGCAUGGGGCGAAUACCCUCAUGCAGUGACGGUACCGUAAGAGAAAGCCACGGCUAACUACGUGCCAGCAGCCGCGGUAAUACGUAGGUGGCAAGCGUUGUCCGGAAUUAUUGGGCGUAAAGGGCGUGUAGGCGGCCAGACAAGUCUGUCUUAAAAGUGCGGGGCUCAACCCCGUGAUGGGAUGGAAACUGUCGGGCUAGAGUGUCGGAGAGGAAAGCGGAAUUCCUAGUGUAGCGGUGAAAUGCGUAGAUAUUAGGAGGAACACCAGUGGCGAAAGCGGCUUUCUGGACGACAACUGACGCUGAGGCGCGAAAGCCAGGGGAGCAAACGGGAUUAGAUACCCGGGUAGUCC